RNAcentral lists this ribosomal RNA (786 nucleotides) under Bacillus sp. M3B-1. RNAcentral describes it as "bacterial SSU rRNA". It matches the Rfam family "Bacterial small subunit ribosomal RNA", at positions 62 to 831 of the family's 1533-position model. The record is from RNAcentral. Lineage: Bacteria; Bacillati; Bacillota; Bacilli; Caryophanales; Bacillaceae.
UCGAGCGGACAGAAGGGAGCUUGCUCCCGGAUGUUAGCGGCGGACGGGUGAGUAACACGUGGGUAACCUGCCUGUAAGACUGGGAUAACUCCGGGAAACCGGAGCUAAUACCGGAUAGUUCCUUGAACCGCAUGGUUCAAGGAUGAAAGACGGUUUCGGCUGUCACUUACAGAUGGACCCGCGGCGCAUUAGCUAGUUGGUGGGGUAAUGGCUCACCAAGGCGACGAUGCGUAGCCGACCUGAGAGGGUGAUCGGCCACACUGGGACUGAGACACGGCCCAGACUCCUACGGGAGGCAGCAGUAGGGAAUCUUCCGCAAUGGACGAAAGUCUGACGGAGCAACGCCGCGUGAGUGAUGAAGGUUUUCGGAUCGUAAAGCUCUGUUGUUAGGGAAGAACAAGUGCGAGAGUAACUGCUCGCACCUUGACGGUACCUAACCAGAAAGCCACGGCUAACUACGUGCCAGCAGCCGCGGUAAUACGUAGGUGGCAAGCGUUGUCCGGAAUUAUUGGGCGUAAAGGGCUCGCAGGCGGUUUCUUAAGUCUGAUGUGAAAGCCCCCGGCUCAACCGGGGAGGGUCAUUGGAAACUGGGAAACUUGAGUGCAGAAGAGGAGAGUGGAAUUCCACGUGUAGCGGUGAAAUGCGUAGAGAUGUGGAGGAACACCAGUGGCGAAGGCGACUCUCUGGUCUGUAACUGACGCUGAGGAGCGAAAGCGUGGGGAGCGAACAGGAUUAGAUACCCUGGUAGUCCACGCCGUAAACGAUGAGUGCUAAGUGUUAGGGGGU